CUUCAACAUACGAAUUGGGGGGGAAGCUAUUCAGUCCAUAGCACCCCGAGUUGGGAGCCAAGCUUGGCUAAUCCAAGGCAAGACACAGAGAAGGCCAGGGGCGCGGUGAGAGCGCUUCAGACGAGGCGGCAGAGGCAGGCAGCGAUCGGCUCACACGGCCUUCACGAGCCAGGCUGGGCAUCUUGGAUUUCGCCUCCUACGUGUCAGGCACACACCACAGGCCCUUCGGCCACGAUCUCAUUUCAUAGUCCCCAUGACUCUGCAAGGGACAUCCUAUCUCUGCCAAUCUCACAGGGGAGGAGACCGGAGCCCGAGCACAGUGCUGGCAGAAGAGAGCCACCCGGCCCUCACCCAUCUUUCUGCUGAGCCCGGGAGCAGCCCUGAGCUGAGCGGGAGGCUGACCCCCCAGACGGAGAUGCCCCGGGAGCAGAUAAGGGAUUAGAAGUGGAUCUAGCACCUGGUCCUGCUGAGGGCUUCCGAGGCCUCAGGGGGAUCAGGCACAGGCCUGGCGAGUUGGGACAGGGUUUUUCAAGAGAUCGUUAAUCAGCACUCCACAGACAAGGGCGCCACGGCCACCAGCACCUGGGCACAGGAGACAUCCAGGUACAGCAGACGCUCUCGAGUGUCCCUGCUCACAAGGAAGAACCAGCCCAGGAGGGAGACCGAGAAACACUGUGGGAGGUUACACACCAGAGGGAUGAUGCUCACAGCACCUGCCACGUCCUGAGUCCCUCCCGUGUGUCCUGUGCUGGAGCCUCUCGCGCAUCAUCUCUACUCCUCACAGUGGAGUCCCCUGCACAGAUGGGACAAAUGAAGCUCAACGGCUUUGGGAGUCACAGAAGUUAAAAGUUCCCGGAAAUCACACCCUAGAACUAUGUAAAUAUUAUGAUGAAAUUGCUACCAUUUCUGUUUUACAAUGACCCCCAAAGCAGCACUUCUGGAACCAUCUGUGGAGAAGGACUGGUUUUUAAAAAUUUCUAAUCUGUCACAGACCAAAACUUUUAUAAAAUACAAGAAAAAUGAGUUACUAGGAAAAUAAAAUGAAAAAAAUUACAAGCCUAUUUCUUUAUUAUGAGACUCAAGACAUAAAAUUACUCUACCAAAUUGCUCAUAAGUUCUCAACCCUUAAUUUCUGCAUCCACUUUGAUAGAGAGGAACUUGUCCAGGGUUCUCUGUCGCAGGCACAGAUCUAGGACAAACGCAUAUUCUCCUCGUAAGAGCUAAGUGCUCUCAGACAAAUCCCAUUUUGGAGAUGAGGACUCUGUUGCUCAGAGAAGGUAAGUGGCCUGCCCAAGAUCACACAGCUGGUGAGUGGCAGGGCUGGGGUUCAGACCUGGGGCUGUGUGCCUUGUUGCAUUCAACCAUCCGGCAAGUGCAGCCCCGUCGGCCCCUUAGCCUUGUCCCUCCUCUUAACACAAGGUCAAGAGCCCUGCA
This 1434-nucleotide long non-coding RNA is filed under the name Equus asinus (donkey). Its description in RNAcentral is "lncRNA (ENSEASG00005035445.1)". Lineage: Eukaryota; Metazoa; Chordata; Mammalia; Perissodactyla; Equidae. The record is from RNAcentral.